This 253-nucleotide ribosomal RNA is filed under the name uncultured bacterium. RNAcentral's name for it is "partial 16S ribosomal RNA". It matches the Rfam family "Bacterial small subunit ribosomal RNA", at positions 524 to 776 of the family's 1533-position model. The record is from RNAcentral.
GACAGAGGGUGCAAACGUUGUUCGGAAUUACUGGGCGUAAAGCGUGUGUAGGCGGCCAUAUAAGUCGGAUGUGAAAGCCCUGGGCUCAACCCAGGAAGUGCACUCGAUACUGUAUGGCUUGAGUAUCGGAGAGGUUGGUGGAAUUCUCGGUGUAGAGGUGAAAUUCGUAGAUAUCGAGAGGAACACCGGUGGCGAAGGCGGCCAACUGGACGAAUACUGACGCUGAGACACGAAAGCGUGAGGAGCAAACAGG